RNAcentral lists this ribosomal RNA (20 nucleotides) under Sporothrix sp. AMC_SG_004. Its description in RNAcentral is "partial 18S ribosomal RNA". The record is from RNAcentral. Lineage: Eukaryota; Fungi; Ascomycota; Sordariomycetes; Ophiostomatales; Ophiostomataceae.
AGAGUUUUCACAACUCCCAA